This is an RNA transcript of Syngnathoides biaculeatus (alligator pipefish), 1079 nucleotides long. It is a transcript of the gene named MIS18 kinetochore protein A, with no coding region annotated. The transcript has 6 exons. NCBI's taxonomy places the organism in Eukaryota, Metazoa, Chordata, Actinopteri, Syngnathiformes, Syngnathidae. The record is from RefSeq and is a predicted model, not a curated record.
AUAAAUAACAAAAUCUUGAUGUCCAACAGCACACGUCCCUCCCAAUUGUGAGGUUGCGGGUUCAAAUCAGGGUGUGACGGUCUGUGUGGAGUUUCCAUGUUCUUCCUGACUCUGCGUGGCUUUUCUUCGGGAUGGUGGUAAACUAUCGAGUUGUUCGUUAGGCGGCCAUAACGAAACGAGCAGGGAGGCGCGGGGAGGGGGUGAACUAUCUCGCUUCCUCCUCUCGCCAACUUUCAUCGUGGCGGCGCGAACUUUCGAACGUUUGGUCCAAAACAAAAAUGGCGACGAGGGGCAAGUGUCGAACCCCCUACGUGAAAGCUGUGAACACGACGUUCGAGAAGUAUAAAGCGGACUCGUCCGUCGUCGAGGAGAAGUUGCUGCAGCUUCAAAUUGACGACGACAACGGCGGCGACGACGACGAAGGUCCGAUGGUGUUCAUCUGCGGGAAGUGCAAGUUGCCCGUCGGUGAUUCCUUGUCGUGGGACGCCCGCGAAGACGCACAAAAUCAAAUUGAACUCAAGCGGGUCUCCAACAACGUGCUGAUUGGUAAGGACGCUCGUCUUCACGAAGCCAGCAGAGGUUCUCUGUGUCUGAUCGUGGAUUUGGUGUGUGUCGGGUGCCGUUCGGUCCUCGGGAUGAUCUACAAGUCCACGCCCAGGAACCUGGACCACAAGAGAUACAAGUUCUGCUUUGACGUGGCCCACAUCGACAGUUACGUGCUGGGCUCGGCCAACGUGAAGUUGACGGGCACCGACGCCGGAGAGGAACCGGUGACGCUGGAGUACCGACGCCAAGUCCAGCAGUGGCUCGCCGAGAUGAAGCUGCUGGUGGUGUCGAUGGCGCGCCGCGUGGAGGAGCUGGAGAACCUCGUUCAAGAUGAGGCCUGAGGCCCCACCCCCCCAAAUUGGCGCCGUCAACAGUUCGGCCAUAGAUCGCGACGCCUUUUGUUCGCCGUGCGUGCGCGGUGGUCUGGUCCAGGCCCCUCAGCAGAGGGUCUUGAGCGCCCCCGACGCACACAGCAGAGUCUGCAUGGGGUAGGGGGGCGGGGACACCACCUCCUCCACCACUUGCUCGGGUCG